UGCCAGCAGCCGCGGUAAUACAGAGGGUGCUAGCGUUGUUCGGAAUUACUGGGCGUAAAGCGCGUGUAGGCGGUACGUUAAGUUCCGUGUGAAAGCCCUGGGCUCAACCCAGGAAGUGCGCGGAAUACUGGCGGACUGGAGUGUCGGAGAGGAUGGCGGAAUUCCCGGUGUAGAGGUGAAAUUCGUAGAUAUCGGGAGGAACACCUGUGGCGAAGGCGGCCAUCUGGACGAUAACUGACGCUGAGACGCGAAAGCGUGGGUAGCAAACAGGAUUAGAUACCCUGGUAGUCCACGCUGUAAACGAUGGAUGCUAGAUGUUGCGGGUAUUGACCCCCGCAGUGUCGACGCUAACGCAUUAAGCAUCCCGCCUGGGGAGUACGGCCGCAAGGUUAAAACUCAAAGGAAUUGACGGGGGCCCGCACAAGC
RNAcentral lists this ribosomal RNA (426 nucleotides) under uncultured bacterium. Its description in RNAcentral is "bacterial SSU rRNA". It matches the Rfam family "Bacterial small subunit ribosomal RNA", at positions 506 to 930 of the family's 1533-position model. The record is from RNAcentral.